Molecule: long non-coding RNA, 696 nt
Filed under: Astyanax mexicanus (Mexican tetra)
Lineage: Eukaryota; Metazoa; Chordata; Actinopteri; Characiformes; Acestrorhamphidae
Description: lncRNA (ENSAMXG00005009256.1)
Source: RNAcentral
AAUAACCAAAAACCAAAACAAACCAGUGAAACAAAAGAACAUAAGCUAAGCCAAAAAGAGAUAAAGAUAAUAAAUAAACAGGGAAUAUAUACAAGGGAAGAAACUAGAAAUAAACAAGGAAGAAAACUAUAAACGAGAAAACAAGAAAUAAACAAGGAACUAAGGCUAUGAGAGAACAAGGAAACACUGAGAAAAGCUAUUAAACACUGAGAGAGACAAACGACAGGUGAAGGUGCGAAGACCGACGGAGGACAAGUGACAGAGGAGGGCUAUUUAACCAAACAGGACACACACUAGAAUUGGAAACACCUGGGGAAGGGGCGGAGCUACAAAUGAGACAUGUGGUGGAAAACUACUGACAGGAGACACAGAGGAGCACAGGUCACGUGGGAAUAACACACAGAGACAUGAGACAAGACCAGGACGUGACAGGGAGAAGGAUUGGCCUGUGGCUUCUGGAGGACAGUGGUUGGCACUAAGGGCAGCACCGCGGAGGCAGCUGCCGGAGUGGCCUGUGGAGAAGCAGACCGAGUGCCAGGUCAGUGUUUUGGUAGCUGCCAGCUGCCCCUGUCCUGACCUUUUCUCCUGUCAGUAUUUAUUCAAACUUUGUACACAUAAAAACUCAUUGAGAAAACGGCAAGGAAUGUCUGAAUGGCCACAUAUUGUAACUUUAAUCUGAUAGGAAACAAAGGGCCG